RNAcentral lists this ribosomal RNA (507 nucleotides) under uncultured bacterium. Its description in RNAcentral is "partial 16S ribosomal RNA". It matches the Rfam family "Bacterial small subunit ribosomal RNA", at positions 28 to 507 of the family's 1533-position model. The record is from RNAcentral.
GACGGACGCUGGCGGCGUGCCUAAUACAUGCAAGUCGAACGCAUUUUCUUUCACCGUAGCUUGCUACACCGAAAGAAAAUGAGUGGCGAACGGGUGAGUAACACGUGGGUAACCUGCCCAUCAGCGGGGGAUAACACUUGGAAACAGGUGCUAAUACCGCAUAAUUCCAUUUACCGCAUGGUAGCUAGCUGAAAGGCGCUUUUGCGUCACUGAUGGAUGGACCCGCGGUGCAUUAGCUAGUUGGGGGGGUAACGGCCUACCAAGGCUGCGAUGCAUAGCCGACCUGAGAGGGUGAUCGGCCACACUGGGACUGAGACACGGCCCAGACUCCUACGGGAGGCAGCAGUAGGGAAUCUUCGGCAAUGGACGCAAGUCUGACCGAGCAACGCCGCGGGAGGGAAGAAGGUUUUCGGAUCGUAAAACUCGGUUGUUAGAAAAGAACAAGGAUGAGAGUGGAAAGUUCAUCCCUUGACGGUAUCUAACCAGAAAGCCACGGCUAACUACGUG